This is a long non-coding RNA of Neogale vison (American mink), 862 nucleotides long. RefSeq lists it as uncharacterized. Lineage: Eukaryota; Metazoa; Chordata; Mammalia; Carnivora; Mustelidae. The transcript is spliced from 6 exons. The record is from RefSeq and is a predicted model, not a curated record.
CCCAGCGUAAUUCAAAGCGGUCGACCCGUCCUGUGGGCGCGGCGUGGAGUAGAGCUCCUGCCUGGCUAUUCCUCUCGCCGCGCGGGGCUCCGGACCGACUCCCGCACUUUCUGCUCACCUUUGCCCUCUAUGCUGAGCUCUUAGAGGUCCCAGCUAUGCCAUCCCGGGCUUGCUGGGAUCCGCUGUCUUCCAACAGCUCUUCAGGACCUGGCUCCUGGAGGGCGACACCACCCCCCAACCUAGAAAUUCCACUUUGACCUGUAAUGAAUCCUCCUCCAACGUUCCCAGCGUCGUCUUGGACCCUCUUUUAUUGCAAAAACUACAAAUGAAAUUGAUUAAGAAGGUUUGGGGCAGGAUGCUGACACGAUAUGAUGUUCAUCUGAGUCCAGCUUUUGAAGGGCUGGCUUAGUGGUCACAUAUUCUCCCCCACUUCGGGAAGGGCAACUAACCUGGACCACACAGCUUUAAGAUAAAAAUCAAAACUUAGCCAUUUCUUUGAUCCUAAUGAGGACUUGACAUGGACCAAUGAAUCUGGAACCAUCUUCAGCCUGUGAUCAGUCAUAAUCCAGAAGAAGCCAAGCAGACCACCCAUCACUCUCUGGAGAGAGAGGUGCCCUCAUCUGCCACCUGCAUCCUUUGCUGCACUGAAGGGAGAAUGACUUUAUGAUUCAGACAUGUAACUCAGUGUUGCUUUUUUAAAGUCUAUACAGUGAAGAAAAACAUGUACAGAAAGCAUACGGGAACAACAAAGCAAAUAUAGCAAAGUCUAAACAAGAAGUAGAAUUUAUCUUGGAAAGAACCAAGAUGCCCUUCAACGGAUGAAUGGAUAAGGAAGAUGUGGUCCAUAUACACGAUGGAGUAU